This 818-nucleotide long non-coding RNA is filed under the name Triticum aestivum (bread wheat). Its description in RNAcentral is "long non-coding RNA (TAES_LNC013900)". Lineage: Eukaryota; Viridiplantae; Streptophyta; Magnoliopsida; Poales; Poaceae. The record is from RNAcentral.
CUUGGCGGCCACCGUCGCAGGUGCCCAUCUCUGCUCUUUCCCUUCUUGUUUCCUUCUCUUUAUUUUCAGGGAAGAGAUACUCAGAUCGAAUUCAUCACGAGAAUAUAUUAGCCUCUUGUUUGCCUGCCAAGUUCCCUCUAGGAUUUCCUGAUUUUUGUGUCAAUUUUGGGAAUAACGAAAUGCUGUUCACCUUGUGGUUAGCCGGCUAGAUGUUCUAGUCCUGAUACAGGGUGUGCUAGAGGAUCUAGCUUCUUCUAUUAGUGAGUAAAUAUUCACCUCAAGGAGAGUACCAAUUGCCAUAUGUUGUUGACAGGUUAUUUGGUUGGGGAACACAAUUACAGUUUCAUGUCCUGAAUCUAAAUUAAUUGUUUCUCACCGUAAUAGUCAUGAUGUUUUUCCUUUUCUUUUAUAAAAUAUAGAAAGACUGGCAAAAGCUGCAACGGAAGUGAACUCACUAUCUCAGGAAGCAACCAUCAAGACUGCUCUGCAAGGCGAGCUGGGCGGCUAGAGGUGCAUCGUUGAGCAAGUUUCUUUUACUGAAUUUAGUUAGCACUUUGACAUAUAAAAAAUACUAUAUAAAUUGGAAAGUGCCACCUUGAAGAUGGAGUGCACAAUUUGAUAUUCAGAAAAAUUGUUGCAUGAUCUGAGCCUUUUUCUGUUUGGUUAUCUUCUAGUCAUGGUUCAUGGUGACAGUAACUUAUCUUGUUUCUUUUCUCCGUUCCUUUCAUAGAUCAACAACUGCUGAGCAGGCAGUGAACUUGACAUGUCUUUGCACUUGCAACAACAACAGGGGACAUAUUGUACUAGUCAAGUCUUGC